GACGGAGGGUGCAAGCGUUGUUCGGAAUCCCUGGGCGUAAAGCGCGUGUAGGCGGUCCGAUAAGUCGGGUGUGAAAGCCCGAGGCUCAACCUCGGAAGUGCAUUCGAAACUGUCGGGCUUGAGUACGGGAGAGGGAAGUGGAAUUCCUGGUGUAGAGGUGAAAUUCGUAGAUAUCAGGAGGAACACCGGUGGCGAAGGCGGCUUCCUGGACCGAUACUGACGCUGAGACGCGAAAGCGUGGGGAGCAAACAGG
RNAcentral lists this ribosomal RNA (253 nucleotides) under uncultured bacterium. Its description in RNAcentral is "partial 16S ribosomal RNA". It matches the Rfam family "Bacterial small subunit ribosomal RNA", at positions 524 to 776 of the family's 1533-position model. The record is from RNAcentral.